AACGCGAAGAACCUUACCUGGGCUCGAAGCGCAGUGGAAUCCGGUGGAAACAUCGGCGCCCCUUAAAAGGCUGCUGCGGAGGUGCUGCAUGGCUGUCGUCAGCUCGUGUCGUGAGAUGUUGGGUUAAGUCCCGCAACGAGCGCAACCCUUACUCAUAGUUGCUACCCGCAAGGGAGAACUCUAUGAGGACUGCUCCGGAUAACGGAGAGGAAGGUGGGGAUGAGGUCAAGUCAGCAUGGCCUUUAUGUCCAGGGCUACACACGUGUUACAAUGCAUGGUACAAAGUGUCGCGAACCCGCGAGGGGGAGCUAAUCGCAAAAAACUAUGCUCAGUUCGGAUUGCAGUCUGCAACUCGACUGCAUGAAGCCGGAAUCGCUAGUAAUGGCGUAUCAGAUCGACGCCGUGAAUACGUUCCCGGGCCUUGUACACACCGGAGUA
This 438-nucleotide ribosomal RNA is filed under the name uncultured bacterium. RNAcentral describes it as "bacterial SSU rRNA". It matches the Rfam family "Bacterial small subunit ribosomal RNA", at positions 958 to 1398 of the family's 1533-position model. The record is from RNAcentral.